RNAcentral lists this ribosomal RNA (464 nucleotides) under uncultured bacterium. RNAcentral's name for it is "partial 16S ribosomal RNA". It matches the Rfam family "Bacterial small subunit ribosomal RNA", at positions 28 to 507 of the family's 1533-position model. The record is from RNAcentral.
GACGAACGCUGGCGGCGUGCUUAACACAUGCAAGUCGAACGAUGAACCGGUUUCGGCCGGGGACUAGUGGCGAACGGGUGAGUAACACGUGGGCAAUCUGCCCUGCACUCUGGGAUAAGCCCGGGAAACUGGGUCUAAUACCGGAUACGACACUCCGAGGCAUCUUGGGGUGUGGAAAGUUCCGGCGGUGCAGGAUGAGCCCGCGGCCUAUCAGCUUGUUGGUGGGGUAAUGGCCUACCAAGGCGACGACGGGUAGCCGGCCUGAGAGGGUGACCGGCCACACUGGGACUGAGACACGGCCCAGACUCCUACGGGAGGCAGCAGUGGGGAAUAUUGCACAAUGGGCGAAAGCCUGAUGCAGCGACGCCGCGUGAGGGAUGACGGCCUUCGGGUUGUAAACCUCUUUCAGCAGGGAAGAAGCGAAAGUGACGGUACCUGCAGAAGAAGCACCGGCUAACUACGUG